This 62-nucleotide transfer RNA is filed under the name Rattus norvegicus (Norway rat). It matches the Rfam family "tRNA". Rfam says of the family: Transfer RNA (tRNA) molecules are approximately 80 nucleotides in length. Their secondary structure includes four short double-helical elements and three loops (D, anti-codon, and T loops). The record is from Rfam by way of RNAcentral. Lineage: Eukaryota; Metazoa; Chordata; Mammalia; Rodentia; Muridae.
GGGGAUGUAGCUCAGUGGUAGAGCGCUUGCCUAGCAAGCUCAAGGCCCUGGCUUCGUCCUCA